Molecule: long non-coding RNA, 424 nt
Organism: Haliotis rubra (blacklip abalone)
Lineage: Eukaryota; Metazoa; Mollusca; Gastropoda; Lepetellida; Haliotidae
Exons: 4
Source: RefSeq, a predicted model, not a curated record
GCCAGCACACCGCUGACCGAGGGUGGAGGGCUUGUAGUCAGUCUGCAACGCCAUCCCUGGUCAGUGUGACAUAUGAGUGUGGAGGAGUCUACCGAUUAAUUGCUCCGGCUAAUAUUCCCGAAGUAGUUGAUGCGACAAAGCAACGAGAAAUGUCUACUUUUGUCGUGUUUAUGAGGGCCCAUAUCAUUUUUGUCUGUCUUGCCACCGACAUCAUGUCAUCUUCAUACCCUAGAGGUUUUACUUGCCAGUAACAACAAGCUUAUCUCAGUGCCAGAAGAAAUAGGAAAAGUAGAAAAGCUCAAUGACUUGAAAUGUGUACCUUCAACCUCAGGGAGCAGAGUGAGGGAUGGACCUCCAGAAAAGAAUCACACAUGAAGCUUAUCAUGAGCAGACCGUAGAACACAUGGAGGCGCACCACCUCCCA